AUGGAAGAGGUUCGCUCUAGGAAAAAAGAGCUCUCGGUGCUGAUAGAGAACUUACUGGACCAAGAGGAAACUUCUUGGGCCCACCGAGGUAGUGUGAGAUGGUUGCGCAGAGGUGAUCGUAAUAGCCAAUACUUCCAUCAAUUUGCUUCGUCUAGGAAGAGGAUAAACUUGAUAAAGAAACUCAAAGAUAAUAAUGGGUGGGUUGAGGGUGAUAACCUCGGCGCACUAAUUUCCAACUACUUUGCUGGUCUUUUUACUUCUGAUGUUGCAGAUUAUGACCAAGUUGAUGUUCACAGGAUCCUACAAAUCCCUCUUCGUGUGAAGGUGAUGGAAGAUUUUGUAUCAUGGCAUUAUUACCGUUUCGGAGCUUUUACUGUGCGGUCCGCAUAUCAUAUAGAAUUUCAGCAUCAAUUUGGCCGCAACUCGAACGAGACUACUGCACAAGGAAGCAAACCAAACAAAAUAUGGAAGCGCGUUUGGGAGCUUCAAAUCCCUGGCAAGGUUAAGCAUUUUGUCUGGAAGGUGAUCAAGGGAGUUUUACCAUGCUAUGGUACCCUAGCAGGACGUCAUAUACCUGUCACGGGGCAAUGUCCGAUAUGCCAUAUAUGUUUUCAGGAUGCACAACAUUGCUUGUUUACCUGUGAAAGUGUGAUGAAUAUCUGGAGUGAGCUAGGACUAAAGGAAGAAAUUCAGAAAGCUGUGCUAGAGGACCGAUCAGGAUUUUCACUAUGUCUUCCCUCAUGGAUCGGCAUGAUACUACGGCAAAUGGUCAAGGGGGAGAUGGUUCGGCAGCCGAACCAAACUGCAAUAUCAAUAAAAGUUCUAGCGACAAAUUUCAUCCGCUCACUAACACCAAACCAGCCAGUGGUAAAACGUGAUCAUAUGUGGCACAAGCCAAAGAGAGGAGUGGUCAAAAUUAAUGUUGAUGCAUCCUUCAGUGCAGAGACCAUGACUGCAGUGGAUGCGGCAGAGAUCAUAGCUAUUCGUAAUGGAUUUUACCAAGCAGCCAAAAUUGGAUGCAACAGCUUACACAUUGAGUCUGACAGCUCUAACACAGUUGAAGCUCUUAACCUUGAAGCUUUUCUUGGGUGGGAUUCGGCAACUCUGUUGGAGUGUAAGGAGAUGGGCUUGGACUUCGCUCAGUAUGAAGUAACUAAAUGCCCAUGGGAAGCUAAUAGUGUAGCUGAUUGUAUAGCUAAAGCAUCUUUGUCUAAUAGAUCCUCUGAGCACAUGUUGCCGCAGCGGUGCUGCAAGGCGGCAACAAUGAGUUACAGGCGAGAGGGCGAGAUGAGAUGCUACAAUGAGCGACACUAUAGAGAUGGCAAUGGCGACUCGCGACGGGAGGCGAGGAUGCUGGCAGGGGAGGACCACCGAGAUGGCGGAGACGGGUGA
This 1392-nucleotide ribosomal RNA is filed under the name Triticum aestivum (bread wheat). RNAcentral describes it as "partial small subunit ribosomal RNA". Lineage: Eukaryota; Viridiplantae; Streptophyta; Magnoliopsida; Poales; Poaceae. The record is from RNAcentral.